AAAUUGAAGAGUUUGAUCAUGGCUCAGAUUGAACGCUGGCGGCAGGCCUAACACAUGCAAGUCGAACGGUAACAGGAAGAAGCUUGCUUCUUUGCUGACGAGUGGCGGACGGGUGAGUAAUGUCUGGGAAACUGCCUGAUGGAGGGGGAUAACUACUGGAAACGGUAGCUAAUACCGCAUAACGUCGCAAGACCAAAGAGGGGGACCUUCGGGCCUCUUGCCAUCGGAUGUGCCCAGAUGGGAUUAGCUAGUAGGUGGGGUAACGGCUCACCUAGGCGACGAUCCCUAGCUGGUCUGAGAGGAUGACCAGCCACACUGGAACUGAGAUACGGUCCAGACUCCUACGGGAGGCAGCAGUGGGGAAUAUUGCACAAUGGGCGCAAGCCUGAUGCAGCCAUGCCGCGUGUAUGAAGAAGGCCUUCGGGUUGUAAAGUACUUUCAGCGGGGAGGAAGGGAGUAAAGUUAAUACCUUUGCUCAUUGACGUUACCCGCAGAAGAAGCACCGGCUAACUCCGUGCCAGCAGCCGCGGUAAUACGGAGGGUGCAAGCGUUAAUCGGAAUUACUGGGCGUAAAGCGCACGCAGGCGGUUUGUUAAGUCAGAUGUGAAAUCCCCGGGCUCAACCUGGGAACUGCAUCUGAUACUGGCAAGCUUGAGUCUCGUAGAGGGGGGUAGAAUUCCAGGUGUAGCGGUGAAAUGCGUAGAGAUCUGGAGGAAUACCGGUGGCGAAGGCGGCCCCCUGGACGAAGACUGACGCUCAGGUGCGAAAGCGUGGGGAGCAAACAGGAUUAGAUACCCUGGUAGUCCACGCCGUAAACGAUGUCGACUUGGAGGUUGUGCCCUUGAGGCGUGGCUUCCGGAGCUAACGCGUUAAGUCGACCGCCUGGGGAGUACGGCCGCAAGGUUAAAACUCAAAUGAAUUGACGGGGGCCCGCACAAGCGGUGGAGCAUGUGGUUUAAUUCGAUGCAACGCGAAGAACCUUACCUGGUCUUGACAUCCACGGAAGUUUUCAGAGAUGAGAAUGUGCCUUCGGGAACCGUGAGACAGGUGCUGCAUGGCUGUCGUCAGCUCGUGUUGUGAAAUGUUGGGUUAAGUCCCGCAACGAGCGCAACCCUUAUCCUUUGUUGCCAGCGGUCCGGCCGGGAACUCAAAGGAGACUGCCAGUGAUAAACUGGAGGAAGGUGGGGAUGACGUCAAGUCAUCAUGGCCCUUACGACCAGGGCUACACACGUGCUACAAUGGCGCAUACAAAGAGAAGCGACCUCGCGAGAGCAAGCGGACCUCAUAAAGUGCGUCGUAGUCCGGAUUGGAGUCUGCAACUCGACUCCAUGAAGUCGGAAUCGCUAGUAAUCGUGGAUCAGAAUGCCACGGUGAAUACGUUCCCGGGCCUUGUACACACCGCCCGUCACACCAUGGGAGUGGGUUGCAAAAGAAGUAGGUAGCUUAACCUUCGGGAGGGCGCUUACCACUUUGUGAUUCAUGACUGGGGUGAAGUCGUAACAAGGUAACCGUAGGGGAACCUGCGGUUGGAUCACCUCCUUA
This 1542-nucleotide ribosomal RNA is filed under the name Escherichia coli. RNAcentral's name for it is "bacterial SSU rRNA". It matches the Rfam family "Bacterial small subunit ribosomal RNA". The record is from RNAcentral. Lineage: Bacteria; Pseudomonadati; Pseudomonadota; Gammaproteobacteria; Enterobacterales; Enterobacteriaceae.